Molecule: ribosomal RNA, 292 nt
Filed under: uncultured bacterium
Lineage: Bacteria
Description: partial 16S ribosomal RNA
Rfam family: Bacterial small subunit ribosomal RNA
Source: RNAcentral
GUUUCAGCAGCCGCGGUAAUACGUAGGGGGCGAGCGUUGUCCGGAUUUACUGGGCGUAAAGAGCGUGUAGGCGGCCAGGCCGGUCUGUUGUGAAAACUGGAGGCUCAACCUCCAGACGUCGACAGAAACCGCUUGGCUAGAGUCCGGAAGAGGAGAGUGGAAUUCCUGGUGUAGCGGUGAAAUGCGCAGAUAUCAGGAAGAACACCGAUGGCGAAGGCAGCUCUCUGGGACGGUACUGACGCUGAGACGCGAAAGCGUGGGGAGCGAACAGGAUUAGAAACCCUAGUAGUCC